Molecule: long non-coding RNA, 619 nt
Filed under: Aedes aegypti (yellow fever mosquito)
Lineage: Eukaryota; Metazoa; Arthropoda; Insecta; Diptera; Culicidae
Description: lncRNA AAEL022028
Source: RNAcentral
UAAACUCGCUGGCAUUAUUCUUAGCGUGUUUGUUUGUGCUGUUCACGAAAACAGGAAAAAAUGACUUCACAAGUUUGCAAAAAGUCUGUUAUUCUGUUUUGUUCUAAGUUUUUUUGCAUCAAAAAUUUAAAAUAAGCAAGCGAGAGUAUCAACUGCGGAUCACGGAAGGCAACCCGAAAAUGUUCGCUUGUCCGCAAAAGUUCGAUGAUUCCAAGCAAGUUUUUCUAGCGAUAUAUGAAUCUAAAAUAAUAAUCAAACCUACGAACUGCGGGAGUAUGGAAACUUCCGUGAAAACCGAACUCAACAGCCCUUGCUGCCCCAAUCAGCAGAUAUCGACAAAUUAUGUCCAGAAAUGGAACAGCCGAACCCGAACCUACAGCUACGGGACGGGGUAAGUUCCGGAAAAACAAAUCGGAUAAUGAAGCCCGUGAUUCGGUGUACCCAACGUUUCUGAUCGCUGAUGAAGUUCCGGAUCGACACUUGAAUAAGCCCGUAUGUGCAUCGAAUUACAAAAAUCGAUAACUUCGUCGUACUUUUUGUUAAUUUUAAACAAAAAUGUAAUAUUGUGAGAAAUUGUGUAUUCUAAGUUUUCAAUAAUAACUCGAGUGAUAAAACUAAA